AGCGAACGCUGGCGGCAGGCCUAAUACAUGCAAGUCGAGCGCACCUUCGGGUGAGCGGCGGACGGGCGAGUAACGCGUGGGAACGUGCCCUUUGCUACGGAACAACUGAGGGAAACUUCAGCUAAUACCGUAUGUGCCCUUCGGGGAAAGGAUUUAUCGGCAUUGGAGCGGCCCGCGUUGGAUUAGGUAGUUGGUGAGGUAAAGGCCUACCAAGGCAUCGAUCAGUAGCUGGUCUGAGAGGACGACCAGCCACACUGGGACUGAGACACGGCCCAGACUCCUACGGGAGGCAGCAGUGGGGAAUUUUGGACAAUGGGCGCAAGCCUGAUCCAGCAAUGCCGCGUGAGU
This 348-nucleotide ribosomal RNA is filed under the name uncultured bacterium. Its description in RNAcentral is "bacterial SSU rRNA". It matches the Rfam family "Bacterial small subunit ribosomal RNA", at positions 29 to 406 of the family's 1533-position model. The record is from RNAcentral.